This is a non-coding RNA of Aegilops tauschii subsp. strangulata, 2687 nucleotides long. The record is from RefSeq and is a predicted model, not a curated record. NCBI's taxonomy places the organism in Eukaryota, Viridiplantae, Streptophyta, Magnoliopsida, Poales, Poaceae.
AUGGUUUUUUUUUGUCCCACCACUUUUGUCCGGUUUUUUUCCGUCCCCUCCUCCCUCUUGCACGCACGAAAUAAAUCUGUAUCACCACGCACGAAACCGAGGCAAUCCAUACAAGGCCGCUCCCCUCGAUCGCAUCCAUCAUACAACCUCGCCGCCGCCAACGAGGUACGGGAUCACCGCCGCCGAGCCGAGGCACGGAUCGCAGCCGCCGAGCGAUCUUCCUCAAUCUUUUGUCUAGGGUUCCCCGCCUCCGCCGUCGAUGGCGACGGCGCCAUCCCGGAACCUCGGGGCAGGUCAGGACUCCAGGCAGGUCGUGCUUGUGUGGAGUCGCCGCACUCCGCACGCCGCUGCCGCCGCCGCUGAUCCCUACGGACGAAGCCGUCCAACGAACGGCCGCUGCAGGCGCCACAACAGCAGCUCGUUACCGAAAUAUCAGGGGCGCAGAUGAUGUACAUGAUCAUCUCGUCCAUGCCAUGGAACAAAGCCACCUGCUUGAUUAGCUCCAAACAGAGGUAAGGCUUGAUGCCCCGCUGGAUCAACUAUUUUUACAAUAUUGUUGUGACUUUGUAAUGACUGUAGCCCAUUUUUUCUUCAUUGUUCUUUGGUCCUUUUUGGGAGAUUCAACAAAUUUCUUCCAAAUUAUCACAAAUGGAGAUGUUUGUCUGAACCAUUAUGUAAAAGAAUUGAAAUCACUGACAUAUUAAAUUCAGCCAUAAUUGCAUGAACGAGUGAGUGCUGAGUAGCAAAGCCAAUUUUUGCCAGUUCAGAUAUCUAGCAACAUAAUAAUAAGACCACUAAAACCAAUAAUGGUACUAUAUGUCUUACAAAUUAAUUUACCCGUACAACGGAUUGAGGCAGUAGAUUACAGAGGCCUGCAUCAUGAUGGCCCUUUUCAUGUCAGUUAUCUUGGACCAGUAAAAGGUAACCGCAUCGUUCUUACAAUUUUUUGGACUAUUAAUAUUUUCCCUGUCUCAGCCAACCAAAAGAUACUUUCAUGCAGCUAUUUCUAAUUUAAUUUAAACCAAGAUGACUUUCACCAGUCCCUUUUUUUUAGUUUUCAUGCAUUUAUCAAGGCGCUACUUUGUUACUUGGAAUGAUAAAAUAGCUACAAUAGAUAUGCUGAUUUUGUGUUUGAAUCAGUGUGUACUGUUAUGAUGAGUGCCUCUUUUAUUUGCCAAGCUCCAAUGGCUUACCAAGAUGUGGCUUUUUUCAUUGACCAGUCAAUGUAUUGUUUCUCCGGCUCGUGAACUGAGAGGACCUUCGUUCAAGUAUUAUGGAAGCUCAACCGGGUACUUUCGGAGUCGACUGAUUAAAAGCUAGACACUGAUUCUUUUUAUUUCGUAAUUUACUUUGUUGUGAUCCCAACAAUUUGUUUUUAUUUCAAAAUUGGUAUUAAUCUUGGCAUAGGAAACUCGUAUGCUGCUGUGACCAUAAUUUGAAGUGACAUUGUGCUCAAUCAACCAUUAUUUGGCUCCGCUGAACGUAAUUGCAGGGUGUAAGCUCUUCUAUUCUCGCAACAGUUAGUCCUAAAGGACCAAAGGUCCUUUAAAUAUGUUGAAAUAUUAAUACGAAUGUAGCAUCAAUGGCAUUAAAAUGGAAUAUGAAAUCGGGUAAUUCGAUAUUGGUGUAUUUGUAGAUAGGUUUCUCAUCUGUGAUUUUUUCGCAUAUAGUUUGCUGCUUUAUAAACUUGUAUAACUAUGCACUGUUGUGAUGUCAGUUAUGAAAGUCGUUUCUGGUGCAGAUGAAGAACAGUUCCUAAAUAUCAUCAUUGCACCUAACAACAAAGUGCAUUUCUCCGUUGAUCUCUUCUUACAUCACGAAGCAUUUCUAUGUUUCAUGUAUACAUAUUGAUAUAUUUUAUCUGUGCAUUUGUAGGACUGAAGGUGCCUCCAUAUUUUGAAGUACUUAAAUCCAGCGUGCAACAACCAAUGUCAUAUCACGUGGUCAGCAGGGAAGGGUAGCAUGGUGACAAGACAACCAUCAUCGGCAAUGGACGACUGAGCAGAGGAUUGGCUCAAUGUAGAUGCAGAAUCGAGAGGAGACCUAAACAAGCUUCUUCUCAGUUCAGAAAAAAAAAAUCAUUUCUGGCAUAACCUGGUAAUCCCACUCAAGGAGGAGCAGUAUCACUUAACCUGUUCAUAUUACCCCCAUAUGAAUUAUCAUCCUCAAUGACCCCUCCAGGGAAGGAUUCUGAUCAAGAAUCACUGUUGCUGGAGGUUCCUCGCAAUGGACGGCACCGAUAGGCAAAACUUCUUUGUUACCCACACCAUCUCUACAAUAAGAGGGCGUGCAUAUGGAAAAAGAAGGAUAUGAUGAUCUACUUAUCGGCUCCUAGGAAUGAAGGACUGUUUUUCUUUCUUUAAGUGCUUAUCAGGUAAAUAUUUGUCCACACGGUAAUAGAAAUCAUAUGGUGUCAAGUGAUGGGGAACUUUGCUGGUUUACUACAUGAUGGCUCGGGGCCAUGCUUGAUGCUCGUGCCAUGGGACACAUUACAAGCCCCCUCACACACCCUGACGAGAAGGGCGGCAAGACAACAACUGCUUGCUGAUUUUUAUUGUUGCAUAAAUAUGCUUUAUUGUUACGGUGCUUGUCGCUGAGGUGGAGAUGGAAAGAACCAAUCUUAGUUUACAGUUGUGUGAGAAUUAUUAGUCUGCACAUUGAUUACUAUUUUCUAUCCUUUGGUGAAA